This 1215-nucleotide long non-coding RNA is filed under the name Malus domestica (apple). RNAcentral's name for it is "long non-coding RNA (MDOM_LNC005019)". Lineage: Eukaryota; Viridiplantae; Streptophyta; Magnoliopsida; Rosales; Rosaceae. The record is from RNAcentral.
CACCCAGAUCGGCUACGUCCACGGAGUAUAGGAGUUCUCAUUAAUUGUGAAGGGUUUACAUAAGUACAUAGGUUCAAGCUCUCCUUUAGUGAGUACUAGUGAAUGAUUUAGUACAAAUGACAUUAGGAAAUAUUGUGAAAGAAUGAUCUCUAUUUAUAGAAGAGAAUUUCUAGUUUCAUUCUGACAUUGACACGUGUCGUGUUGUGAUUGGCUUCUGAUGUUGACACGUGUCGCGCUGUGAUUGGCCUCCUGGUUGGAGAGAAACUCUUCUAGGUCCUUGACGGUAUAACAUUGACCGGUGCUCAGUAGUUUCGGGAUUGAUCAAGUAUAGUACAAACAUUAUUAAUUCCCAAAUAAAUUACACCAAGGAAGUACAACAAUAUUAUAAGGAAGAAUGACAUGCAAAUGACAUUUAAACCCCUAAUGCACGCAAUAGUUAGAUGUAAAACACCAACGACACCUAAAAUGGCGUCCACAUUAGUACAAGCCAUGGUGGGGUUUCGGUAAACGUUAACUGAUGCUGAUCAUCUUCUUGUUCUUGGUGUUUGGCGCUUUAGCCUUGUCGGUUGUGAAAAUCGAAGAGAAAAAUUGGACGAUAUUCGCUUCACUGACCUCCUCUUUGCUGGAAUUACGCUCGCAGUCGCACCUGCUUUCGGUUUGAAACAAUAUGGUUGCUCAUCAGGAUUCUUGCCUAUUUUAUGCGAUGACUUCAAUUUCAUCAGCAUACCUUUUGGCUUUGUCUCUAGACUUGCCUUCGCUGAUAUCUCUCUAUGUCUCGGUGUGUUGAUUUGUGUGCUCGUGAACCAUAAUUUUAUGAGUUUAAAUAAGCAGCAAAGAAGGCAAGACGAAGAGAGUGGUAAUUGGUGAACUAUGGAUCGACGUAGGCUCUUUUACAAUUUGGUCGUGUAUGUUGAGAGAUUUUCAGUGUGACCAUCACACGAAGUGGUACACCACGUGUCCUUAUAGAAAUAGUGGGUUAUGUGUGUUAAAAGGUUAAUAACUUAAAAAUUAAAAUUUUCCACCACUUGCAUAAAAACAUAUGAUAUACCAUCCGUAUUCCUAUUACAACUAAAAAAUUCUCGUGUAGCUAGGUCAAUGUCAUGACGUGAACGUAUUAAUUACGCACUUUUAGUUUUGCGUCAUUAGAGCCGCACCAAACGGACUUGGCUUAUCUGCCCUCUUAGUUCCCACACACUCCCAUCCCCUCUUAUUUGU